GACGAACGCUGGCGGCGUGCCUAAUACAUGCAAGUCUAACGCAGUGGGGACUGGUGAGUAACAUGUGGGUAACCUCCCAUCAGAGGGGAUAACACUUGGAAACAGGUGCUAAACCGAUACUGAUGGAUGGACCCGCGGUGCAUUAGCGAGUUGGUGGGGUAACGGCGCACCAAGGCCACGAUGCAUAGCCGACCGGAGAGGGUGAUCGGACACACUGGGACUGAGACACGGCCCAGACUCCUACGGGAGGCAGCAGUAGGGAAUAUUCGGCAAUGGACGAAAGUCUGACCGAGCAACGCCGCGUGAGUGAAGAAGGUUUUCGGAUUGUAAAGCUCUGUUGUUAGAGAAGCGGUAUCUAACCAGAAAGCCCCGGCUAACUACGUGCCAGCAGCCGCGGUAAUAC
This 403-nucleotide ribosomal RNA is filed under the name uncultured bacterium. RNAcentral's name for it is "partial 16S ribosomal RNA". It matches the Rfam family "Bacterial small subunit ribosomal RNA", at positions 28 to 526 of the family's 1533-position model. The record is from RNAcentral.